Molecule: ribosomal RNA, 461 nt
Filed under: uncultured bacterium
Lineage: Bacteria
Description: partial 16S ribosomal RNA
Rfam family: Bacterial small subunit ribosomal RNA
Source: RNAcentral
CCUACGGGAGGCAGCAGUGAGGAAUAUUGGUCAAUGGGCGGGAGCCUGAACCAGCCAAGUCGCGUGAGGGAAGACGGUCCUAUGGAUUGUAAACCUCUUUAGGCGGGGAGCAAUGCCGGGCACGCGUGCCCGGAGGGAGAGUACCCGCAGAAUAAGCAUCGGCUAACUCCGUGCCAGCAGCCGCGGUAAUACGGAGGAUGCGAGCGUUAUCCGGAUUUAUUGGGUUUAAAGGGUGCGUAGGCGGAUUUUUAAGUCAGCAGUAAAAUGUCCGGGCUCAACCGUGGAAUUGCAGUUGAAACUGGAGGCCUGGAGUGCACACAGGGAUGCCGGAAUUCAUGGUGUAGCGGUGAAAUGCUUAGAUAUCAUGAAGAACUCCGAUCGCGAAGGCAAGUGGCCGGGGUGCAACUGACGCUGAGGCUCGAAAGUGCGGGUAUCAAACAGGAUUAGAUACCCCGGUAGUC